This 497-nucleotide ribosomal RNA is filed under the name uncultured bacterium. RNAcentral's name for it is "partial 16S ribosomal RNA". It matches the Rfam family "Bacterial small subunit ribosomal RNA", at positions 28 to 507 of the family's 1533-position model. The record is from RNAcentral.
GAUGAACGCUGGCGGCGUGCCUAAUACAUGCAAGUCGAGCGAACGGACGAGAAUCUUGCUUCUCGGAUGUUAGCGGCGGACGGGUGAGUAACACGUGUAUAACCUACCUAUAAGACGGGUAUAACUUCGGGAAACCGGAGCUAAUACCGUAUAAUAUUUUGAACCGCAUGGGUCAAAAGUGAAAGACGGUCGUGCGGUCACGUAUAGAUGGAUCCGCGCUGCAUUAGCUAGUUGUUAAGUUAACGGCUUACCAAGGCAACGAUGCAUAGCCGACGUGAGAGGGUGAUAGGCCACCCUGGAACUGAGCCACGGUCAAGAGUACUACGGGAGGGAGCAGUAGGGAAUCUUAGGCAAUAGUCGGAAGCAUGGCGGAGCGAGGGGGAGUCAGUGAUGACGGCCUUCGGAUCGUAAAAAUCUGUUAUUAGGGAAGAACAUAUGUGUCAGUAAAUGUGGCCAUAUUGACGGUAACUAAUAAGAAAGCAACGGCUAACUACGUG